GAGACCUCAGGUCAGGCGGGGCUACCCGCUGAGUUUAAGCAUAUCAUA
This 48-nucleotide ribosomal RNA is filed under the name Phaseolus parvifolius. Its description in RNAcentral is "partial large subunit ribosomal RNA". Lineage: Eukaryota; Viridiplantae; Streptophyta; Magnoliopsida; Fabales; Fabaceae. The record is from RNAcentral.